AGCCAAAUGUAAUACUAUCUCCUACAACAUCCAGCACAUGUAGGCUAGUCUGACUCGUCUAUAUAAAAAGGCACGUUUUGGCACUCCUUCUUCAGGGUGAUGCAAAACAACCAAGUCAGGAAUGAGGGCUUGUUCUCAACUGUUGACUUGGCUGGGAAUCCUGCUAGGGGCUAUCUCUCCUAUCACUUUAGCUGUAGGGCUGAGAAUACUGACCCAGUGUCCAGCCAACGUGUCCUGGCCCCCACCAACAUGACUGACAGUCCAAGUGACCUUGCACGAACAUUGGCUUGUGAGAGCUGGAACGGCUAAGAGAAGUGGAGGAGCUAGCUCCUGGUUCUGUUGUGUGAGCCAACAUGAUAUACAAGAUCACCCGCUGGACAGGAUGCCAGUUUUUCGCUGGGCCUUACCCACAACCUAGGUCCUAAAAGAUGCAGUCUGGGACUUUUAUAAUUAACCCAAAGAAAAUGGAACCUCCCAUUUUGAGCUGGAUGUUGAGUGCAAGGCAGGGAUCAAUCUGGUCUUACAUGUUCUGUUGUAUGAUUCAGCUGGGGCCACUGAUUUCGUCUCUAGAUGUCCCAAAGGACACCAUAAUUAGGACAAUUAAAAAGCAUUUACUUAUAGUGUACUGUACACUAGUAAUAUACUGAUGUAGCAAAAUGCUCCUAUCCUACACUCAAUUUAUACAUAUUUAUUCAUAGUACAGGAGACAUGAAAGGUCGGUGGAACUGAUGAAAGGUCUGUGGAAACUCACACCUACUAUACAUGGAUACAGUGCUUCCCCAGGACCAAUCGAAUAGGAAAGAAAGAUCACAUAGCAUGUUCUUCAUUGAUUAUUAUUUACAUUUUGUUAAAAUGUCGAUAUAUUUUCUGUUGGUGAUUUAUCUUUGAACAGCACCACUGCUGUCUUAUUGAUCAUUAUUGACCAAUCAAAUACUCCUGCAUGGGAAGACAUUACAUUUAGUGCAUGUUCGCCCCUUGACACGUCUAGAUAAACCUAAUGUAAUACAAUCUCCACCACAAGCACCUCUAUUCAGGAACACGUUUUGCCACUCCUUCAUAAGGGGAAAGCUAUACAAAAAAAAGAAAACAGAUAUUGGGAAUCUUACUUAGGGCUGUUUCUCCUGUCUCUCUAGCCCUAGGGCUCAGAAUAGUGACCCAGUGAUCUACCAACGUGUCCCGGGCCCCACCCAUUACACUGGCAGCCCCAGUGACCAUGCAGGAGCAUUGGCUUGUGCAAGCCAGAAUGGCUCAUAGGAGCAGGUGCCUAUCUCCUGUUUCUGUAGCGUGACUUUGAGACAGCUUGAGGUACAACUGCACCUCAUGGAUGGGACCGCCUGGUCUGUAACAGGGCCUUACCCCCGAUCUAUCUCUAUUUCACUGAAUACCAAUCAGGAACACAUCGGGUCUCAUUUUUAGUCAUCUGACUCAGCGGGGGAUUGAAGUCCCAACCUUCCAAUCUCAGGGUGGACUCUAACAGUGUUUGUAUAGGUCCUCUGUGUGCCAAAUUACACCAUAUUCCCUAUGUAGUGCACUAAAGUAGUCCACUAUUUAGGGAAUAGUGUGCUUCUUGGUAAAACUCAACCUGUGGCUGCCAGUCUAAUGUGUGGGGGCCAGGACACGUUGACCGAACACUGGGUCACUAUUCUAAGCUGUCGAGAUAGAAGAUAAUGUGUCAGGAUUUUGGCCCUUUAUGUAGUUCUCCAUAGUCAGAUGAACUCCUGGAUAUCAUUUGAUAUCCUGUAGAUUUCCAGCAUUUUUCUAAGCUAGUUGAGAUUUUUCUCACUAAAUUACCUCUAUACUUUUGCAGACAUAAAAGCUUACCCAGGAAGUAGAUAAUGGCCUUCAUCCCAAAAUGAAAACUUAAAGGAUGAAUGGUUGAAGGAUUCACAUCUGACUGGCCAUACAGGACAUUCAUCUAUGAUAGGUGGUUAGAUCGCAAAUUUACCAGCCCUUAAUUAAUAUCUGUUGUGACUAGGUAUAAAUGAACAAUCAAUGUAUAACUUGAAAUAUGAAAGAUGCUAUACAGUUAUUAACUUGCAGUACUACCACAGUGCUAAUAUCACGUGCCUUAUUAAGGUCCUAGUAUGUAUACACUAGUAUUAUGUUGUUGUUGGAGAGAUGGUUAGUCAUCUACAUUAUGUUCUGCCACUUUGUGGCAUAAAAGCCGAGGUGGAUCAGUUCGGGAUUUUCCAAAAUAACUCACAGAAAUGUGUGUGGCUGCCAUGGAGGUAUGCAACCCAAUCAGUUGGAUUUAACGCUUACUGGAUGAGAGAUAAUUUCCUUCCAGCCUCAUCUGUAACUACUGACUCAGACAAAGAGAAAGUCAGGGAAAGGCAGACAUUAAUGAAAGUUUUUAAUAAUUUUCAGAAACAACAUCAGUCCCUUGAAUGUAACUGGCUGCAGGAGCAUGACCCAAGCCAAUACAUACUGGCUGAAUCUUAUGAGGAAUUGGUUGGAAGCCAUUUUUAACACCACAUGACAAAGUAUAUGAUCUAGAAUAUUAACCUGGCUAAGGACCCUUUAUGGCUACAUGGACAAUAAGUGCCAAUAUUUGGUGUUCUACCAAAUACUUACAGUGGCUACUUCCAGCAACAAUCCCCAGCAGCAUGUCAAGUAUUGACAGUUCCCAAGAGAACAGUGGGCUGCAUCAUUGGGAAAUUGAAUUGAAGUUUGGAAACACCAAUACUCUAAUUAACAAGACUAAGUAGCCGUGCAAAAAGGGCUUUCUGAAGAGUUGCCUAGAAGGAAGCCCCUCCUGAGUAACUGGGACGUGACGUCACAUGAGAGCAUGAGGAAAAAGAUGCCGGAUAGCCAAGUGCUACGUCUGGUGAAAACAAGGUACAGCUCACCAUCUACGUAAUUCCAUCCCUGUGGUGAAGCAUGUCGGUGGGAGCAUCAUGCCAUAGUAAUGCACACAGCACAUUAGAAUGGGGCAAAGAUUCACCUAUAUACACGACAAUGACCCAAAGCACCAGGCCAAGACAAUGCUUGAGGGGCUUCAGGACGUCUGUGUAUUUUUUUGAGUGGCCCAGCCAAAACCCAGGCAUGAACCCAAUUGAACAACUGUGGAGAGACUUGAAGAAUGUAGUUAACCAACACUUCCCAUCCAAUCUGACAGAGGUUGAGAGGAUCUACAAGGACGAAUUGAAAAAACUGACCAAAGCUGGUAGAAGCAAACCAAGAACAUUCUAAAUCAGAGGGGUCAAACCGGUUCAACAGGGUGCCGGGUAUAUGCUGGUUUUUAGUUUUUCCUUUCAAUUGGUGCCCAACUGAGACCAAAUAGUGUCCUAAUUAACCAAUCAAGCACAAGGUGAGAGCAAAGAUCUGCAGACACUUGGCCCUCUGUGGAACUGGUUUGACACCUCUGCCCUAAACUGUGAUCGCUGAUAAAGAUACAUUUACAAAGUCCUGAAUAAAGGUUCUGAAUGCUUAUGUACCAAAUUAAAAUGUUCAAUUAUAAAUUAGCUCUACAGUAUAACACAACAACAUUUAAAGAAAUUGAUGGAGUCUGAAUGUUUUUUCAGAGGCACUGUAAAUAGAUAAAACACGUAUCAAACCAACAUGCAACACUCAAUUACAUUUAAGAUUUUAAGUUUUAUUUGUAUAUAUUUCAGAACAAUAUUUACAAAUUCCAGAGGCUAUACAUGAUUUGCAUGUAGUUUCUUUAAAAACUAUUGUAAACCUAUCUAUAAAACGUCUGAUUAAAUAAACCUUUAUAAAUAAUGUCCUGAAUGAAUGUUCUUACAAUUACAAUGUAAAACAAUAUACAGUCUAAGGCAGCAUUUUGGAAAAAUCGAAAAUGAAAAAGCAUUGUAUAUAUCCCUUCCUCGUUUCCUGUUAAUGGAACCUGGGGACAGGCAAUAACACACAAGACCAUCAGCCAAUAAAACUGUUCCACUGACUAUUCCACAGGAGAGUCUGGAGUUAUGUAAACAGAAUACAACUAUUAGAGUUUGUGAAUUGCUUUUCUAUUCAGUUUUCUCACAGUUAUAGUCACCACUUUGAGGAACAAUGUAUUCCUGGCUGUUUGGCCUCAGUAGUAGGCUCUGUCUCUUAUGCACCAGUCUCCUUAAGUAAUACACCAAUCUCCAUCUUUGGAAUGUGACAUGGAGUCUUGGUAGUGGAAUUCAAGCUAAGGAGCCUGUUGUUAAAUUGCAAGAAUGAUAAUAUGUAUUAGAGAAUUAUUUUCUCAGGGAGGAAAUCUGUAUAUUUCUCUGAAAAUGUACAUCAAAAUUUACUUUUCAAACAAAUGCACAAAUUUGUCAAAAGAAUACAUUAGCAUAUACUUCUAAUCACUGCAGAUUCAGGGAAGGAGACGAGGAGGACAGAUUUAUCAGACAAUUACGAAACAAUCAGAGACUACAGUAUACAAACAUCAUGUCUGACAUCAAGUAAGAGGCAAUAAAUCCACCCUUGCAAAACCUGCUGAAAGAAAGUCCUGUAAAGUCUCUAUUUUCAACUUGUUUUUUACAAUGUUAGUGUUAGUGCCAUCAGAUAGUAGCUAUUAUUCUUUACAUUGUACUUUGCAAGCUAGCCAUUAACUACACUGAACAAAUCUUUUGAGUUUUAUAGGGGGAUUAAUACUGUGAUUCAUGGGUUUUACAGUGCGGUUACACCUAAUUUCUGUUGCUCAAAUCUCUCAGUAAAGAUAAAAUCACUGGUAAAUUUGAAAUAAUGUAAUGUUGUGUCUCCACUACAAUUAGGGAAAGUAUGCAGUUUAUCGGGCUACAGAUUAAAUAGAUUUUUUAACUUCACAGGGUGGUUUUCAUUCAUGAUAAUAAACUUCAUGUUCUUUACUAAAACUACUGUGUGUCUAGGUUUGGUGAAAUAACUACUGCUUUAAUGUUGAACAACACUGAAUUACUAUUCAACAAUUUAAAAAUGUAUCCACAUUAAUCUAAUAAUUUAGGCUAACCUACCCACAUUAUCUGGGAGGGGUGGUCGACUGGAUGUGCCAAGACCAGAAUGUGCCAAGACAAGAAUGUGCCAAGACCAGAAUGCUAUUUUUAUUUGCUCUUAAAAUCUGCUGUGAAUUCAAACAAUGUUUGACAAAUACAGAGUAGUAGGCCUCUACCAAUCUUCAAUUUCCACCUGAAAACUGAAAUUGGGUUAGAACAGGAGUCGUCGUUUGUGGUUAUAACAUUUUACCAAUGGGACAUGAGACUAGCUCCAAAAGAACUUGGGACUGGAUUGUUCUUGAAUCUUUUUUUGUGAUUACAUGAAUUAUUUAGUAGAACAACCUUGCUACUUUUGCAACAUUGCAGUGUCCAACCCAGGAAAUUUUCUUUCUAUCUUCGAGGAACCAGACAUCAGCUGUUCCCUCAGGACACUGAGCCAAGCCCCUAAACGACUGGCCCCACUCCUGCUGCCUGCCUGGUUAGCCUAAUAAUGGGCACCAACCCAACAUAUCAAAAUACUGGUCCAUUGAAAGGACAUCCAAGAAUAGAUGGGGGUUGGGACACUUCUGAUAUUGUGGUUCAGUUCUGUGUUAAUGCAUUAAUAUAUAAUACAUUAAUACUUACCAAACAUUUUAAAUGUAAAACCUCACCAGCUUUUUUCACUUGGAAUGGUGUGGGCAUACUCCAGCAUAAGAAUGAUUUGCUUGUAUAGCUUAAAAUUGCAAACGGUAUGUGAAUUAACAGUUUUUAAAUCUUUUUUAAUGGUUUUGUCACAAAUGCUAGUACAGAAUUUGUAAUGAUUUGUCUAUGAGUUUUAAAAAUUGUCAUAUCAGCUUUCUCUCCUAUUAGAUGAGAAUAGUGUCUCAGUGUCCAACCAACAUGUCCUGGCCCCCAUCAACUUCACUGGCAGCCCCAGUAGCUUUGCACAAGCUCUGGUUUUUGUGAGCCAGAACAUCUCAUAAGAGUAAGAGCUCCUGAAAGACAUAAAUUGUCUUGGACCUUGGUAUUUAAAAUUAACUUUAAAAUGUACAUCUCAAAUCAAAAUACUAGACAAAGAUAGGUCUGUUUGAAAAUGAAUCACGGUUGUAUAGCUAGAAAGUCUCACUAAAGAGAAAUUAGACUUGCUCCAAACUUUUUUGUGAGAUUAAGCUGACCACAUUCACAGCUUCUGCUAACUUACAGCAUUCCAACCCGGCAAUUUUCCGCCCAUCAUCUCAGAGGAACCAGAACUCAGCUGUUUAGUUCCCUCAGAAAACACUGAGCCAAGCCCUUAAAAGCCUGGACUAACUCCCUCUGCCUGCACAUGCAGCCUACGAGCCAAUGUGAAGCAACGCAACACAUGAUGUCAAAGUACUAGCCCCAUUAAAGAACUUCCAAAAAUAGAUAUCUGGGUUGUGGUCAGGCGGAUAUUGUGAGCCUGAUCAGUGUUAAUACACUGACACAGUCCCAGUUUAGGCUGAUUUAAAGGGCCAGCAUGUUAUCCUUCUGUUGAUGUGGUUGUGCUUCUCUUUUGCUUCAGGGUUAUUCCAUGUUUAUGGCAUAACAAAUCCUGCAAAAAGCAAGAAGAAAAUAGUAAAACAAUAAAGUACUGUAAAGGACAGGAUAGUACUGUAAAGUGACAGUUAAUAAAAACAGUAGUGUUAGUGUAAACCGUGCAGUUAAUAUAGCUAAUACAGUAACUUUAACCACUAGAGUUAAUGUAACCAAUACUGUUACUGUAACCAAUACUGUUACCCUAACCACUAGAGUUAAUGUUACCAAUACUGUUACUGUAACCAAUACUGUUACCCUAACCACUAGAGUUAAUGUAACCAAUACUGUUACUGUAACCAGUACUAUUACUGUAACCAGUAGAGUUAAUUUAACCAAUAUUGUUACUUUAACCAGUAGUGUUAAUGUAAGCAGUAGGUUUAAUGUAACCAAUACUCUAACCAGUAGAGUUAAUGUAACAGGUUAUGUUGAUGUAAAAGGCAGAGUUAAUGUAACCAGUAAAUUUUUUAAUUUUAGCUGAUGCCCUCACCCAGAGCGACUUACAGUACCGAGUGCAAAUAUUUCCGACAUGGUCCCCUGUGGGAAUCAAACCCACAAUCUCUGGCAUUGCAAGCACUAUUCUCUGGCAUUGAGCUACAUGGGUAAAGUGAACACAACCAGUACUAUUGCUUCACAACACAAGUGACCUCCUAUUUUUGACAAUGUUGCAACAAUUUAAGCAACUGGAUAGCCAAUCAAUGACAUUUUAAGCUAGCUGUGCAGUGAGCUUACGUUGGGUUUUUAACUCCAAUACAUUGACUCAUUUUAAAUUUGAUACACAGUAAGCCACCUGUUAUGGAAAUUCCUGAACUAAGGUACAUUUGAGAAAUGUCUGCUUUUCUAUUACCUGGUAUGUAACUCUGGUCUUUAUUUGUAUAAUAUCAGAGGAUUAUUAGGUACUCUGCCCAUCUGUUUAUCUGCCUAAACCAAUAAGGGUAUCUGUCCUUUGUUCCUUAGGAAUGUGGUCCUUGGAGGAAGUAGGGGCAUUUGGCUCAUUUGGGUAAACAAUAUGGCAGAAAGGAUAAGGUAGGGGGGGACAGCCCACCCUUUGGGUAAAACCUGGGUAAAAUCUGACAUAAGACAGCAGGGCAGUAACUUACCACACCCCUUUUAAUUGUAAUAAAUACUGACUGUUCAUGUAUCUACCUCAGAGAUUCCUCAGAUGAUUAUUUUGUAAGCUUUUGACGCGUCUCUCUAUCUGCAAAUAAAUGGCUAAUUAUGCCAAGAGAAUUUUGUCUCUGUACUUACUCCUUUAAGAGUUCCGAUCAAUGGAAUUACCAUCACACACCCCAGCCAUUGAGCUCUACUUACAAUCUGAGUCACACAGCACUAGUGCAACCAACACUGUGCUGUUUUUAACCAGUUCUGUUAUGGUAACAAGUUGAGUUAAUGUAACCAGUACUGUGUAGAGUUAAUGUAGCUAAGAGUUUAACUUCCUCCACUGACAGUUUGCCCGGGCACACACUGGGUGCAAACUCAUGGUCCUCUUUUUGGUAGAACCAGUGACCAUUUCAAAUAUAUGAACUACAAAAAAGGUAUCAAUUGUAUAACCCAAUCGGCAACCUUUCAAGAUAAUUGUUGAGUGAGCUUAUGGUCCGCUCUUAACUCAGACAUCAAACCUCAGACAUGUAGAGCUGACAUCUUACCUCAGACAUGUAGAGCAGACAUCUGAACACAGACAUGUAGAGCAGACAUCUGAACUCAGACAUGUAGAGCAGACAUCUGAACUCAGAUAUGUAGAGCAGACAUCUUAUCUCAAACAUGUAGAGCUGACAUCUUACCUCAGACAUGUAGAGCAGACAUCUUACCUCAUACAUGUAGAGCAGACAUCUAACCUCACACAUGUAGAGCAGACAUCUAACCUCACAC
Long non-coding RNA from Esox lucius (northern pike), 8297 nucleotides. Lineage: Eukaryota; Metazoa; Chordata; Actinopteri; Esociformes; Esocidae. The record is from Ensembl.